AUUGAACGCUGGCGGCAUGCUUUACACAUGCAAGUCGAACGGCAGCGCGGGCUUCGGCCUGGCGGCGAGUGGCGAACGGGUGAGUAAUGCAUCGGAACGUGCCCAGUAGUGGGGGAUAGCCCGGCGAAAGCCGGAUUAAUACCGCAUACGACCUGAGGGUGAAAGCGGGGGACCGAAAGGCCUCGCGCUAUUUGAGCGGCCGAUGUCGGAUUAGCUAGUUGGUGGGGUAAAGGCUUACCAAGGCGACGAUCCGUAGCUGGUCUGAGAGGACGACCAGCCACACUGGGACUGAGACACGGCCCAGACUCCUACGGGAGGCAGCAGUGGGGAAUUUUGGACAAAGGGGGCAACCCUGAUCCAGCCAUGCCGCGUGCGGGAAGAAGGCCUUCGGGUUGUAAACCGCUUUUGUUCGGGAAGAAAUCCUCUGGGCUAAUACCCCGGGGGGAUGACGGUACCGGAAGAAUAAGCACCGGCUAACUACGUG
Molecule: ribosomal RNA, 484 nt
Filed under: uncultured bacterium
Lineage: Bacteria
Description: partial 16S ribosomal RNA
Rfam family: Bacterial small subunit ribosomal RNA
Source: RNAcentral